UACGUAGGGGGCAAGCGUUGUCCGGAUUUAUUGGGCGUAAAGAGCGUGUAGGCGGUUUGGUAGGUCCGCUGUGAAAACUCGAGGCUUAACCUCGAGAUGUCGAUGGAAACCGUAUGGCUAGAGUCCGGAAGAGGAGAGUGGAAUUCCUGGUGUAGCGGUGAAAUGCGCAGAUAUCAGGAAGAACACCCGUGGCGAAGGCGGCUCUCUGGGACGGUACUGACGCUGAGACGCGAAAGCGUGGGGAGCGAACAGG
RNAcentral lists this ribosomal RNA (253 nucleotides) under uncultured bacterium. RNAcentral describes it as "partial 16S ribosomal RNA". It matches the Rfam family "Bacterial small subunit ribosomal RNA", at positions 524 to 776 of the family's 1533-position model. The record is from RNAcentral.